Molecule: long non-coding RNA, 1047 nt
Filed under: Citrus maxima (pomelo)
Lineage: Eukaryota; Viridiplantae; Streptophyta; Magnoliopsida; Sapindales; Rutaceae
Description: long non-coding RNA (CMAX_LNC002608)
Source: RNAcentral
CCUCUUCAACUAUAUAUAUAUAUAUUUUUUUUUUUCAUUCUGAUGGUUUCACUGGCCGUUGGAUUGAUCUACCAGCGCCCUGGACUGUGAAUUCUGAUGUUCUCUUUCAGCUUUACAACAUUCUUCAUUUCUUUUUCUUUCAGGUCUGCGAGCAAUGCCAAAAUGUUAAAUAUGAGAGAGAGGGAUAUUUUGUAACAGUUGAUAUUGAAAAAGGGAUGCAAGAUGGACAAGUAAGUUUCAUAAAAUUCAAAUGUGAUAGGCAAAUUAAUUCUUGAUGGAAGCUUAUACUUUGGUGGAUAUUCAAUUGUUUAUCCCCUUUUCUUUUUCAUUUUGUCUACCCUUUUAGUUCCAUAGAUCAGCUGCUACGAGUAUUAGCUUUAUAAUCUUUAAUCCGUUCAUUUUUUUUGUGAAUUUUAUUGCUCCUCUUACACUAUCAGAACCAUAUGUCCCAUGUUGGACCCUCAUGUUGUCACUCCCAAUUGAAAAGACCAUUAUCACCUUCCAAACAGGAAAAGCCAAAAGAAUUUGCCGUCCAGUUAACUUGCAUACAACAAGUGUUUGAGUUAGAUUUUUUUUUUUCUCGUCUGUUUUAUCUUUGAUUAGAACUUCUUCUAUUUUCCUGUCAUCUCUAGUUGGAAGCUACAGUGUUUCCUCAUGUUUCUUGCAUUUGUUUUGUUUCCACAGUACUGGAUUUUCACAAUCUAGGCUUGGUUUUUCUAUGGAAUUUCUACUGUUUUCUCUUUUACUCUCUUUAUUUUUAUAGAUUAGUCUUUUUAAUGGCAUAUAAGUUUCUCAGGAGGUGGUUUUCUAUGAAGAUGGCGAGCCCAAAAUUGAUGGAGAACCUGGAGAUUUGAAGGUUAGUUUUGGACUCUUGUAUGUUAUAUGUUUUGUCAUAUUUCAUCUGUAGCAGAUAAUAACUACCUCAUUAUUUGCAGUUCCGUAUUCGCACAGCACCCCAUGAUCGCUUCAGAAGGGAGGGAAAUAACUUGCACACAACUGUCACUGUCACACUGGUAAAGCUCAGUUGUGGCCUGUGGGAUAUUAGUU